ACGAACGCUGGCGGCGUGCUUAACACAUGCCAGUCGAACGGUGAAGCUCCAGCUUGCUGGAGUGGAUCAGUGGCGAACGGGUGAGUAACACGUGAGCAACCUGCCCCUGACUCUGGAAUAAGCGCUGGAAACGGCGUCUAAUACUGGAUACGAGAAGGGUCCGCGUGGGCACUUUCUGGAAAGUUUUUCGGUUGGGGAUGGGCUCGCGGCCUAUCAGCUUGUUGGUGAGGUAAUGGCUCACCAAGGCGACGACGGGUAGCCGGCCUGAGAGGGCGACCGGCCACACUGGGACUGAGACACGGCCCAGACUCCUACGGGAGGCAGCAGUGGGGAAUAUUGCACAAUGGGCGAAAGCCUGAUGCAGCGACGCCGCGUGAGGGAUGACGGCCUUCGGGUUGUAAACCUCUUUCAGCAGGGAAGAAGCGAAAGUGACGGUACCUGCAGAAGAAGCACCGGCUAACUACGUG
RNAcentral lists this ribosomal RNA (467 nucleotides) under uncultured bacterium. RNAcentral describes it as "partial 16S ribosomal RNA". It matches the Rfam family "Bacterial small subunit ribosomal RNA", at positions 29 to 507 of the family's 1533-position model. The record is from RNAcentral.